Molecule: ribosomal RNA, 864 nt
Filed under: Bacillus pumilus
Lineage: Bacteria; Bacillati; Bacillota; Bacilli; Caryophanales; Bacillaceae
Description: bacterial SSU rRNA
Rfam family: Bacterial small subunit ribosomal RNA
Source: RNAcentral
GGGAGCUUGCUCCCGGAUGUUAGCGGCGGACGGGUGAGUAACACGUGGGUAACCUGCCUGUAAGACUGGGAUAACUCCGGGAAACCGGAGCUAAUACCGGAUAGUUCCUUGAACCGCAUGGUUCAAGGAUGAAAGACGGUUUCGGCUGUCACUUACAGAUGGACCCGCGGCGCAUUAGCUAGUUGGUGAGGUAACGGCUCACCAAGGCGACGAUGCGUAGCCGACCUGAGAGGGUGAUCGGCCACACUGGGACUGAGACACGGCCCAGACUCCUACGGGAGGCAGCAGUAGGGAAUCUUCCGCAAUGGACGAAAGUCUGACGGAGCAACGCCGCGUGAGUGAUGAAGGUUUUCGGAUCGUAAAGCUCUGUUGUUAGGGAAGAACAAGUGCAAGAGUAACUGCUUGCACCUUGACGGUACCUAACCAGAAAGCCACGGCUAACUACGUGCCAGCAGCCGCGGUAAUACGUAGGUGGCAAGCGUUGUCCGGAAUUAUUGGGCGUAAAGGGCUCGCAGGCGGUUUCUUAAGUCUGAUGUGAAAGCCCCCGGCUCAACCGGGGAGGGUCAUUGGAAACUGGGAAACUUGAGUGCAGAAGAGGAGAGUGGAAUUCCACGUGUAGCGGUGAAAUGCGUAGAGAUGUGGAGGAACACCAGUGGCGAAGGCGACUCUCUGGUCUGUAACUGACGCUGAGGAGCGAAAGCGUGGGGAGCGAACAGGAUUAGAUACCCUGGUAGUCCACGCCGUAAACGAUGAGUGCUAAGUGUUAGGGGGUUUCCGCCCCUUAGUGCUGCAGCUAACGCAUUAAGCACUCCGCCUGGGGAGUACGGUCGCAAGACUGAACUCAAAGGAAUUGACGGGGGCCCG